Molecule: small RNA, 791 nt
Filed under: Histoplasma capsulatum
Lineage: Eukaryota; Fungi; Ascomycota; Eurotiomycetes; Onygenales; Ajellomycetaceae
Description: hypothetical RNA
Source: RNAcentral
UGCUACCUUUAGGCUAUCACUGCCUCGUGUGUCGAAUCGAGCGUUCCCUUCCUUCUAAAUAUUAUCAUGUAGUUCUUGGAGUUAUCAUAGUCAAUUCAAUACUCUCUUGAUAUUCGGUAUUUCGGUCAAUAUUCAGACGUUCUACCUUUCCGACACAAGGCUUGUCGCAGCUGAAGCGAACAGCCCACUCCUAGUGCUAGUAAAUAGUUACUAUAUUGCCUGCUACAAUUCCGGUAAAGUUGUAUAUGAAUCAAUUGAUUUCAUUGACCCCAAUCAGCUCUGCCUUGUCUCUCUCCCCCCCCUGCCGCGCCAGCCUGGGUUCGAUUCCCAGCACCGUCAUUCACCCUUCCACCAUGAAUGGCCAUACGUCGGGCCAGAAGUGGAUGCACAGCUCAAUAAGCUGAGUCUUCUCAAGAGUUGCCAUCUGGAUCCUGUUUCUCUCCUUUUGUGUACUGUACAUAGAAAUCUCUCCAGCAUAGCACGUCCCCAUGCCCUCCGGGAGGCUUCUCUGGGACGAUAAAUCUACUAUGUAUACAUAGAUACAUCCCCCCUCCCCCCACCCCCCCUGCCACUUCAUCUCACUCACAGGUGGCAGCGAGAUCUACCUAUUCAAUCAGUGAGCAAUUGCAAGCUGACUGUUCUUUGUGAUUUAAUCUGAACAUAACAGUGCGUACUGUUUUUGCCCGAGGAACCUGAGAAUCACACAGAUGAAAACUGAACUCUGCAGAGAGCUCUAUAGAAGGGGAGGGUGAAAAAUAAUGAGAUCUCUUGAUGAGCGAGAGUGAUCUGAC